CCGGGAGGAAGGGGCGGGCCGGGGGUCGGGAGGAGUCACGUGCCCCCUCCCGCCCCAGGUCGUCCUCUCAGCAUGGGGGUCCCGCGGCCUCAGCCCUGGGCGCUGGGGCUCCUGCUCUUUCUCCUUCCUGGGAGCCUGGGCGCAGAAAGCCACCUCUCCCUCCUGUACCACCUUACCGCGGUGUCCUCGCCUGCCCCGGGGACUCCUGCCUUCUGGGUGUCCGGCUGGCUGGGCCCGCAGCAGUACCUGAGCUACAAUAGCCUGCGGGGCGAGGCGGAGCCCUGUGGAGCUUGGGUCUGGGAAAACCAGGUGUCCUGGUAUUGGGAGAAAGAGACCACAGAUCUGAGGAUCAAGGAGAAGCUCUUUCUGGAAGCUUUCAAAGCUUUGGGGGGAAAAGCCCCCCUCCAUGCGCCUGAAGGCCCGACCCAGCAGCCCUGGCUUUUCCGUGCUUACCUGCAGCGCCUUCUCCUUCUACCCUCCGGAGCUGCAACUUCGGUUCCUGCGGAAUGGGCUGGCCGCUGGCACCGGCCAGGGUGACUUCGGCCCCAACAGUGACGGAUCCUUCCACGCCUCGUCGUCACUAACAGUCAAAAGUGGCGAUGAGCACCACUACUGCUGCAUUGUGCAGCACGCGGGGCUGGCGCAGCCCCUCAGGGUGGAGCUGGAAUCUCCAGCCAAGUCCUCCGUGCUCGUGGUGGGAAUCGUCAUCGGUGUCUUGCUACUCACGGCAGCGGCUGUAGGAGGAGCUCUGUUGUGGAGAAGGAUGAGGAGUGGGCUGCCAGCCCCUUGGAUCUCCCUUCGUGGAGACGACACCGGGGUCCUCCUGCCCACCCCAGGGGAGGCCCAGGAUGCUGAUUUGAAGGAUGUAAAUGUGAUUCCAGCCACCGCCUGACCAUCCGCCAUUCCGACUGCUAAAAGCGAAUGUAGUCAGGCCCCUUUCAUGCUGUGAGACCUCCUGGAACACUGGCAUCUCUGAGCCUCCAGAAGGGGUUCUGGGCCUAGUUGUCCUCCCUCUGGAGCCCCGUCCUGUGGUCUGCCUCAGUUUCCCCUCCUAAUACAUAUGGCUGUUUUCCACCUCGAUAAUAUAACACGAGUUUGGGCCC
Molecule: long non-coding RNA, 1103 nt
Filed under: Homo sapiens (human)
Lineage: Eukaryota; Metazoa; Chordata; Mammalia; Primates; Hominidae
Description: long non-coding RNA NONHSAT179878.1
Source: RNAcentral